UUUGUUAUGCUUUCCGGAUCCCUGGAACUAGAUCUUUACUAUUGUUUUGCUCCACCCUCUAUCUUGACUGAUUCUUUGAUCUUUUAACCUCUGGCCUGCUACCUGUGUAACUUCUCACUCAGUGAAAUUCAGAAUGACCCCACACACAAUACUUGUGGAAUCAAUGUCCAUGGUUUCACUUCCCCCAGGCAUGCCCAAAGUCCAGUCCAGGAGUCAAUUGCGGCCCCGGUUAAAUUUCCACCGGCCCGCCCUUCAUCCCUCACUUCUUUCUCCCUCCCUCCCUUGAUUUCUUCCUUCCUUCUUGGGGAUCCAUACCCCAGAAAAGGCAGGCUCCUCAGGAGGAGAGAGAGAGAGAUGGCAGCUUUUUGCAUCCUUUCACCCUGGGGAAAUCCCAGAUUAAGACAUGACUACUGUUUCCUCCUCUAUUUACUGGCUUCACCAUUUCACUGAAAGGGAAAAGAAAAACUCACUUUGAGUCAAGAAAGGUCCUCUAAAGAAACUGAAGACACUGGUGUUGGAAAAACCAAAACAAUUAUCUCAUCCUAGCUCAUUUUGAAUUAAUAAAGGUCUUGUAGAGAAACUGAA
Anolis carolinensis (green anole) is the source of this 585-nucleotide long non-coding RNA. RefSeq lists it as uncharacterized. The transcript has 3 exons. NCBI's taxonomy places the organism in Eukaryota, Metazoa, Chordata, Lepidosauria, Squamata, Anolidae. The record is from RefSeq and is a predicted model, not a curated record.